RNAcentral lists this unclassified non-coding RNA (3777 nucleotides) under Hevea brasiliensis (rubber tree). Lineage: Eukaryota; Viridiplantae; Streptophyta; Magnoliopsida; Malpighiales; Euphorbiaceae. The record is from RNAcentral.
GGAGGUGUUCACUUCAAUCUCCGGACACGCGUUUCCUAGCUUAGUCACUAAUUUAAUGUGCAGGUAAUUAAGUAGAUCAAUUCAUUACCAAUUAAAUGCAAUCAUCAUUUAUUAAUCUUUGCAAGCUUUUGAUUGCAUUAUUAAAGCUAUUAUUAAAAUUUAAAUUCACAAUAUUCUGAAAUUGAAAUGGAUUCAAGCAGGGGAAUGGACCUGUUUUUGCAAACAUCAUACUUUUUUAAUAUGAUAGAUUAUGUUUUUGAUUUGUUAAUUUCAGUCUUGUCUCUGUUAUUACUGAUCUUAAAACUUAAAUCAGUGUAGUAGUGAUAGUUCUUUCUUUUAAUGAGACGGGACAAUCGAUCAGCAAAACAACAUAUCAGAUGAUUUUCAUGUUUAAGCCAUUUGAACUGAAAAAGAGAGUUUCCAAUAUUAUUACAGUGAACUUGCUGAAGAGAUAGAUAUACGCUUGUCUGAUUCUUAUUUCUUUACAUCCUGCAGGCAGGAGCUUGCUUCACAGUAUCACAUAAUUCUUUAGCACCCAUCUCUUUUCAUGAAUCUGAACAUAUAUGGUUCUCCAUCUGCUCCUGUCUUGCUAAAUAAAUCAUUGAUUCACAAUUUCAGAAGACACCUUUGGUUACAUUGAUAGAACCUGUAGCACCCUGAAGCCAGCACUCUCCUGUCUGAAUUCCAUAAGCUCAGUAAAUGUCUUCUCCUUGCAUAAUUUCGAUGUUGGGAAUGUGAGAGAUGUUACGCCAGUACUUUCCUGUUCCCCUUCGGUAAUGUGGAGAGAGAAUUUCGCAAUAAUUAAUUAUCAAUUCCUGCAAUGUCGUCUUUUGGAGAAGCUUGUCUGGCAAUUUCUUCAACUUUGAGCAGUUACUAACCUCCAAACGAUGAAGACGUGGCAUUAUUGUAUCUUCAUCUCCACUUAUCAUCCUAUUGUCCCACUCUUCCCACUCUUCCCACUCGGGCAUUUGUAUAAACUUCAGUUCUACCAAUCUGGGAAAUAAAACAACUGAUGAUGAUGAUGAUGAUAUAUCCUUGUCAAUUUGAGUUCCCAUUCCCAGAAACUCAGCACCCACCUUUUUCACUCCCAUACCAUUGAAGGAAAGAGAUUCGAGGGCUGGCAACUUCCCCAAAGGAGGCAAAUGUUCGCAGUUUGUACAAAAAUACAUUGAAAGAUAUCUUAGAUUAGUUAACGACAUCAUCCAACUGGGAACCAUUGUAGUACCUUGGUAGCUGGCUAUACUUAAUUCUUCCAAAUUUGAAGAUGGCUCCAACCCUUCCAUUAACUGUUGAUCGUGAAUUCCUCUUGUCCCUUCUUUAUCUUCAAAGAAACCUAGGCUCAUCAAAGUGACAUGUUUCUUCUUCUUCAGCUGUGCUUGCUUAGCCUCACCCACAUCUGCAACAUUUUCCAACCCUCUAAUCAGCAAGGAUCCUCGAAGGUUGUUCAAGUCUUUUAGAUCUCCGAGAGAAAAUGCUUCCUCAUCAUUAUGGCCAACAGUGAGUUCAUUCAUAUAGUCAAAAGUCUCCUUUAUUUCCCUAAGACUAAUCAAUUUUCCAAGUCCUUUCGGCAACACACGUUUUCUUCUGUCAUGAUACAAAUGCCUCAAGUUGAUUAACUUUCCAAUCCCCGGAGGCAGCUUCAGAGGAUUCCAAUGGACAUCUAGAGAUUGCAAAUUGUAUAAUUCACAUACUGUUUCAGGCAACUCCACCAACUCAUUUGCAGACAAGUCAAGAAACCUCAAAUGUAUUAAUUUGCCUAUUUCGGGUGGGAUUUCUCCAAUUCCACAAAGACUUAGGUCUAACGACCUCAGACAGUUUAGCUGAUUCAAUAAAUCAGGUAGGGCUGCUCUAAUCUCUGAUUGGCCAUGGGACUCGAUCAAGAGAGUACGCAGCUUUUUUAGAGAACCAAGUGAACCAGGUAAAGGGGCAUUUUUUGCUAGCACAAUCAUUGAAUGACGUGGUUCUUUACCGGAAAAAUACAUGCUCGACUCUGCAGGACCAUUGACCUCCAUACCAAGGCAUUCAUUUUGUGUAAGAAAUUGGGCAAAAUCAUGCACUAUGUCAUGCAUCUUACAUCUGAAUAUUCCACCAUCAUAUUUGUCAAAGUCUUGGAAAAAAGAGCGAACCACUAAAUUUUGGAAGUAUUCUUCACCAACCAUCUCCAUGUCUUUUCUUUUAGUUGCCUUGAGAUAUCCUUGAGCCAUCCAUAAUUCAAUUAAUCUAGACUUUAAUAUCUCGUGGUCUUUAGGGAAAAUGGCACAAUAUGAGAAACAUUGUCUCAAUGCCAUAGGCAAAUCAUAGUAGCUCAACCAUAGAGCACCUAAAAGAUCCUUUUCAGCUUCUUCUAAUUCCCAUACCUCACUGUCCAAAACACUUUGCCACUCUUCUCUAAAUUUUCUGAAGCGCAGAAGACCUCCCAGUGUCUUUGCAGCAAGAGGCAAACCCUUACACUUUUUUACAAUUUUCCUACCAAUGUCUUCUACACGUUCACAUUCUAUACUAGUCUUUCCAAAAAAUGCAAUUUGACUAAACACUGACCAACAUUCCUCCAUGGACAAUUGUCCUAUUGGGAGUAUAUCAGUGCAACCUAUGCGGGUUGCAACAUUCUCCUUGCGUGUGGUAAUCAGAAUUCUACUUCCCCGCUCACCACACUUGAAAGAAUGCAUCAAAUUUUCCCACUUUCUGGCAUCUUCAGUCCACACGUCAUCUAGGACAAGAAGAAACCUUUGUCCCUUAAUGGAUUGUUGCAUUUGCUGCAAUAAAGUUUGUAGUUCAACCGAAUUUGUUUCAGUAUCCGGGAGUGAUUCGAGGAUUGCUUUGGCAAUCCUGACCUCAUCAAAGGGAUCCGAGACACACACCCAUAUUCUCUUAUUGAAAUGGGCUGCAACUUUGCUGUCAUUGUAGACUAAUUUGGCUAGAGUUGUUUUACCAAUUCCCCCCAUCCCUACUAGGGAGAUGAUGUGGGGAUUUGGUGUUUGUCUAACCUCAGUCAACAACUUAUUUAUGAUUUCAUUUUUAUCAUUCUCCCUGCCUUUCACCUCUGCUACAUCAAUGACAGAUGCAGUGAUCUGUCUUUCAAGUUGUUCAGUGCUCUUUCUAAAGCUAAAGUUGUACCUAUCCUUCUCCUUGGCAAUAUCAUCUAAUCUUUCAUUUAGCUCUUUUAUCUUGCAAGCAAUGUCAUGACGAGGGACAACUUCUCUACGGAGAAAACGAGCAAAGGGGAUGGAAGAACAUACCUUCCUCUUAGGCUCCGGAGCUUCUUGACUUGGCUCAAUUUGGGAUUUGUAAAUUGCAGUGCUCCACUCGUCCAACACAUCGUCAAUGUCGAACGAUAUGUCUUUGAGCCUGUGUAGCCAAAGUUUCACACUGGCCUCCUUCCUUUGUCUUACAUCUGCAUCAUCAAGCACAACUUGGAUGGAUUCAAGAUUGUAUUUGAGCUUUUGGAUUUCUCGCUCAACAUCCAUAACCAAUCUCGCUUCUUGUUCAAGCCCUGAAAGAGCAAAAGAACUCAAGCGUUCCAGGAUCAUGGAAAUAACUGCAAAAGCCAUACUGAAAGGUGAAAGAGUAGCGAGAAAUAGAAAUAUCAAGGAUGCUUAUGCAACGAUAUGGCUCCUAUGCUUUCAAAUUUAUAGUACUACCAUAGAUAUGAGAGAGCCAAAUAAUCAUUCAUAUUAGACUAAUGCAUAAGCUUCUUUUUCUUUUGUUUCUUUUUAUUCUUUCGGUGCUCUACUUUUGUAUCUUUCCAAUAUAUCCCCACCAAUUUUACCACUAUCUUAA